Molecule: transfer RNA, 33 nt
Filed under: Moraea falcifolia
Lineage: Eukaryota; Viridiplantae; Streptophyta; Magnoliopsida; Asparagales; Iridaceae
Description: partial tRNA-Phe
Source: RNAcentral
UAAAAGGUCGGGAUAGCUCAGUUGGUAGAGCAG